CCCUUAUCCUUUGUUGCCAGCGGUCCGGCCGGGAACUCAAAGGAGACUGCCAGUGAUAAACUGGAGGAAGGUGGGGAUGACGUCAAGUCAUCAUGGCCCUUACGACCAGGGCUACACACGUGCUACAAUGGCGCAUACAAAGAGAAGCGACCUCGCGAGAGCAAGCGGACCUCAUAAAGUGCGUCGUAGUCCGGAUUGGAGUCUGCAACUCGACUCCAUGAAGUCGGAAUCGCUAGUAAUCGUGGAUCAGAAUGCCACGGUGAAUACGUUCCCGGGCCUUGUACACACCGCCCGUCACACCAUGGGAGUGGGUUGCAAAAGAAGUAGGUAGCUUAACCUUCGGGAGGGCGCUUACCACUUUGUGAUUCAUGACUGGGGUGAAGUCGUAACAAGGUAACCGUAGGGGAACCUGCGGUUGGAUCACCUCCUUACCUUAAAGAAGC
Molecule: ribosomal RNA, 443 nt
Filed under: Escherichia coli
Lineage: Bacteria; Pseudomonadati; Pseudomonadota; Gammaproteobacteria; Enterobacterales; Enterobacteriaceae
Also listed under: 1 other name
Description: bacterial SSU rRNA
Rfam family: Bacterial small subunit ribosomal RNA
Source: RNAcentral